GUCCACGCCGUAAACGAUGGGAACCUGACGUCGGUCUGCUCUGCGGAUCGGUGUCGUAGCUAACGCGCUAAGUUCCCCGCCUGGGGAGUACGGCCGCAAGGUUGAAACUCAAAGGAAUUGACGGGGGCCCGCACAAGCGGUGGAGUAUGUGGUUUAAUUCGAUGCAACGCGAAGAACCUUACCUGGGCUUGACAUGCUAGGAAUCCUGCAGAGAUGCGGGAGUGCCCGCAAGGGAACCUAGACACAGGUGCUGCAUGGCUGUCGU
This 265-nucleotide ribosomal RNA is filed under the name uncultured bacterium. Its description in RNAcentral is "partial 16S ribosomal RNA". It matches the Rfam family "Bacterial small subunit ribosomal RNA", at positions 793 to 1055 of the family's 1533-position model. The record is from RNAcentral.